This 253-nucleotide ribosomal RNA is filed under the name uncultured bacterium. RNAcentral's name for it is "partial 16S ribosomal RNA". It matches the Rfam family "Archaeal small subunit ribosomal RNA", at positions 474 to 727 of the family's 1478-position model. The record is from RNAcentral.
UACCAGCGCCCCGAGUGGUCGGGACGUUUAUUGGGCCUAAAGCAUCCGUAGCCGGUUCUGCAAGUCUUCCGUUAAAUCCACCUGCUUAACAGAUGGGCCGCGGAAGAUACUAUAGAGCUAGGAGGCGGGAGAGGCAAGCGGUACUCGAUGGGUAGGGGUAAAAUCCGUUGAUCCAUUGAAGACCACCAGUGGCGAAGGCGGCUUGCCAGAACGCGCUCGACGGUGAGGGAUGAAAGCUGGGGGAGCAAACCGG